ACCACAGCCUACAGGAUUAGUCUUUGAAUAGAGGAGCAGCUGGCUUCUGUGGCGGGAAACCUCUGUCAGCUGGGGCCCAAUGCAUUCCUGACUGUUGUGCUGAACCAGGCUUCGCCUGAGAGGGGCAGGUGCUUGGUAUCACACGCCUCAUCAAGUAGGGCAUCCUUGUGGCAUGAGCCACACAGGGACCUGGGAAAUGCCUGACCUCUCUUUAGACCUGAUAAAUCCUCCUCAAUGUGGACCCCGGGCUAUGGCAUCCCAUGGACAUGUGACCUGAAGUGGGAAAUUGUCAAAUGUAUGACUUCUGUCUUAGUCGACGCCCUUUCAGUACUGUCAUGGGUCAGUGUGUUGGUGGUCAGUUUUAAUAGGUAUUCACACAUACAAAAACAAUAAAUAUCUUAUUAUUGCUCUGCAAUGUAUGUUUUUUUCAAUUAACAUGUUUGUUUUUUUCAAUUAACUUGUUCUGGAGAAGGUUCAAUCUUGUUUGUUUAUCAUUGGAUUGUGUAUUUACUGUAUGUCCAUGUCUGUAUUCCAUUAUCCGACAAUAACACAAAUAUAACAUGUAUUUGUCUUUUAAAUCAUAAUAGCAGCCUGAAGUCUUUUUAUUUGCGUUCCAAUAUGAUCUACCUGUGACUUCCUCUAGGUGCGGAGUGUGUGAGAGGCCUGGGCUCGCCCAGCAGAGUUCCAGAUGGCCUAUUGAGUUCCAGGCAUAAUGAGGGGUGAUGGAUCAGUGGCGGCUGUGGCAGGGUGGGGCUCAGCCGUGAAUGGGGGCUAAGUGUGGGAAAGAGGAGCAGGUCGGAGCUCUCACACAUUCCUCACUGGAGAGAGGGAGAGGGCCUUUGGCUGCACAUAGACACUGGGACAUCUGGGCUCAAAGCUAUGGAGACUGUUUUGGUGUGUGUGUGUGUGUCCAUGCACGUGGGCGAGAGUGUGUGUGUGUGUGGAGGGGCUUAUAAUGAGGCCAUCUCUUUUCUUCCUGAAUAGAUGGAAUGUCCACAUUGGAAUGUGUUCAUACUCAAAUAAUGUUUUCAUCUGCAUAGUCAUGACUCACUUAUUAGAAAUAUCUUUAAAGAGAGAAGAAAAGACAGACCAGAAAUGAUUUCCCUCCAAAAAUACCCUUGCCAUCUGCCUUUUUACAUUUUUAGCAUUAGCAUUUUUGUCCAUUUAGUUUAGAGCAACCAUUUGAAUCAAUGUUAAACAUUUUAAUGCAAGUGUCUAGUAAGUUAUUGAAGUAUGUAGACAUUUACCAAUUCUAUUAACUUAUUCACGAGUGAUAGGAGAAACAUUAUUUAGUAAUAGCCUCUGAUGAUGAGAGUGAAGUUCACUGUAUUGUACUGUCCGAAGGCUUCAGUGGGAGCAGAUGUUUGAGUGCAGGUUUCAUUAAUGAGAGGCCAGAGGAGAUUAGAGGAGGAGAGGUGUAAUCAGUGUUAGGUAAGUGUGCACGCACACAGGCCAGCCAUGUGAACGAGGGCGAGGUGGGGGGAACACACGUGCCCCCUGGCUCAGCAGUGCCUCUGAUCUGGGCAGCAGGUUGAAAGGG
Molecule: long non-coding RNA, 1540 nt
Organism: Oncorhynchus tshawytscha (Chinook salmon)
Lineage: Eukaryota; Metazoa; Chordata; Actinopteri; Salmoniformes; Salmonidae
Source: Ensembl